Molecule: non-coding RNA, 105 nt
Filed under: Oceanobacillus massiliensis
Lineage: Bacteria; Bacillati; Bacillota; Bacilli; Caryophanales; Bacillaceae
Description: SAM riboswitch (S box leader)
Rfam family: SAM riboswitch aptamer (S box leader)
About the family: The SAM riboswitch is found upstream of a number of genes which code for proteins involved in methionine or cysteine biosynthesis in Gram-positive bacteria. The SAM riboswitch acts at the level of transcription termination control.
Source: RNAcentral
UCUUAUCCAGAGAGGUGGAGGGACUGGCCCUUCGAAGCCUCGGCAACAGACUUGUACAAAGUACUGUGCCAAUUCCAGAAGCAGAUUGAUCGCUUGAAGAUAAGA